ACUCAACGUUAAUUCUUUAAAAAGGGUGAGUUUAAGUUGUAAAAGCAAGCCAUCUUUGAAUGGAUCCUUGAUCAGCUUGUUAGCCCUAAACUUGUUUUUAAGGAGUUU
This 108-nucleotide small RNA is filed under the name Meridianimaribacter flavus. RNAcentral describes it as "6S-Flavo RNA". It matches the Rfam family "6S-Flavo RNA". Lineage: Bacteria; Pseudomonadati; Bacteroidota; Flavobacteriia; Flavobacteriales; Flavobacteriaceae. RNAcentral also lists the same sequence under 2 other names. The record is from RNAcentral.